RNAcentral lists this ribosomal RNA (338 nucleotides) under uncultured Alphaproteobacteria bacterium. Its description in RNAcentral is "bacterial SSU rRNA". It matches the Rfam family "Bacterial small subunit ribosomal RNA", at positions 1142 to 1501 of the family's 1533-position model. The record is from RNAcentral. Lineage: Bacteria; Pseudomonadati; Pseudomonadota; Alphaproteobacteria.
AAGGAAACUGCCGAUGAUAAGUCGGAGGAAGGUGUGGAUGACGUCAAGUCCUCAUGGCCCUUACGGGUUGGGCUACACACGUGCUACAAUGGCAGUGACAAUGGGUUAAUCCCUAAAGACUGUCUCAGUUCGGAUUGUUCUCUGCAACUCGAGAGCAUGAAGUCGGAAUCGCUAGUAAUCGCGUAACAGCAUGACGCGGUGAAUACGUUCCCGGGCCUUGUACACACCGCCCGUCACACCAUGGGAGUUGGUUUUACCUGACGACGCUGCGCUAACCUUCGGGGGGCAGGCGGCCACGGUAGGAUCAGCGACUGGGGUGAAGUCGUAACAAGGUAACA